CCUACGGGAGGCUGCAGUGGGGAAUAUUGGACAAUGGGGGGAACCCUGAUCCAGCCAUGCCGCGUGUGUGAAGAAGGCCCUCGGGUUGUAAAGCACUUUCAGUGAGGAAGAACGCCUGGUGGUUAAUACCCAUCAGGAAAGACAUCACUCACAGAAGAAGCACCGGCUAACUCCGUGCCAGCAGCCGCGGUAAUACGGAGGGUGCGAGCGUUAAUCGGAAUUACUGGGCGUAAAGCGCGCGUAGGUGGCUUGAUAAGCCGGUUGUGAAAGCCCCGGGCUCAACCUGGGAACGGCAUCCGGAACUGUCAAGCUAGAGUGCAGGAGAGGAAGGUAGAAUUCCCGGUGUAGCGGUGAAAUGCGUAGAGAUCGGGAGGAAUACCAGUGGCGAAGGCGACCUUCUGGACUGACACUGACACUGAGGUGCGAAAGCGUGGGUAGCAAACAGGAUUAGAUACCCCAGUAGUC
Molecule: ribosomal RNA, 465 nt
Filed under: Vreelandella stevensii
Lineage: Bacteria; Pseudomonadati; Pseudomonadota; Gammaproteobacteria; Oceanospirillales; Halomonadaceae
Description: partial 16S ribosomal RNA
Rfam family: Bacterial small subunit ribosomal RNA
Source: RNAcentral